RNAcentral lists this ribosomal RNA (826 nucleotides) under uncultured bacterium. RNAcentral describes it as "bacterial SSU rRNA". It matches the Rfam family "Bacterial small subunit ribosomal RNA", at positions 61 to 905 of the family's 1533-position model. The record is from RNAcentral.
GUCGAACGGAGAAAUAGCUUCGGUUGUUUUCUUAGUGGCGGACCGGUGAGUAACACGUGAGGAACCUGCCUUUGAGAGUGGGAUAGCUUCUGGAAACGGAUGGUAAUACCGCAUAACAUAGCAAAACCGCAUGAUUUUGCUAUCAAAGUAUUUCGCUCAGAGAUGGCCUCGCGUCUGAUUAGAUAGUUGGUGAGGUAACGGCUCACCAAGUCGACGAUCAGUAGCCGGACUGAGAGGUUGAACGGCCACAUUGGGACUGAGACACGGCCCAGACUCCUACGGGAGGCAGCAGUGGGGGAUAUUGCACAAUGGGGGAAACCCUGAUGCAGCGAUGCCGCGUGGAGGAAGAAGGUUUUCGGAUUGUAAACUCCUGUCGUAAGGGAAGAGGAAGGACUGUACCUUACAAGAAAGUUCCGGCUAACUACGUGCCAGCAGCCGCGGUAAUACGUAGGGAGCGAGCGUUGUCCGGAAUGACUGGGUGUAAAGGGAGCGUAGGCGGGAUGGCAAGUCAGAUGUGAAACCUGAGGGCUCAACCUUCAGACUGCAUUUGAAACUGCUGUUCUUGAGUGAAGUAGAGGUAAGCGGAAUUCCUGGUGUAGCGGUGAAAUGCGUAGAGAUCAGGAGGAACAUCGGUGGCGAAGGCGGCUUACUGGGCUUUUACUGACGCUGAGGCUCGAAAGCGUGGGGAGCAAACAGGAUUAGAUACCCUGGUAGUCCACGCUGUAAACGAUGAUUACUAGGUGUGGGGGGAUUGACCCCUUCCGUGCCGCAGUUAACACAAUAAGUAAUCCACCUGGGGAGUACGACCGCAAGGUUGAAACUCAAA